AAUCGAACCCGGAGAUAGCUGGUUCUCCUCGAAAUAGCUUUAGGGCUAGCCUCAUGGAUCAUUGGUGGGGGUAGAGCACUGAAUGUGCGCGGGGGCCACAAAGCCUACCAAACGCUAUCAAACUUCGAAUACCAUACAAUGCAGACCAUGGGAGUCAGUCCGCGAGAGAUAAGUUCCGCGGGCAAAAGGGGAACACCCCAGAUCAACCGCUAAGGUCCCCAAGUUCACGUUAAGUGGAGAAGGAUGUGGAAUUGCACAGACAACCAGGAUGUUGGCUCAGAAGCAGCCACACAUUUAAAGAGUGCGUAAUAGCUCACUGGUCGAGUGAUUGUGCGCCGAAGAUGUCCGGGGCUAAACGUGACACCGAAGCGAUGGGUGCGUCUGAAGAAGAUGCGCGGUAGAGGAGCAAUGUGCAGAGGCAGAAGCCGUAUCGAGAGGCACGGUGGACACUGCACAAGAGAGAAUGCCGGUAUGAGUAGCGAGAGGCAUGCGAGAAACAUGCCCGUCGAAAGCCCAAGGUUUCCUGGGGAAGGUUCAUCCGCCCAGGGUAAGUCGGGGCCUAAGCCGAGGACGGAAGUCGUAGGCGAUGGACAGCAGGUGUAGAUUCCUGCACUACCGAUGGAAUGAAGCAGUGACACAGAAGGAUAACUCGAGCAGGGUGAUGGUCAACCCUGUGCAAGCAUCAAGGUUGGGUUGUAGUGAAGUACGCAAUCCUAUAAGCUGAGAUGUGAUGCGGACCGAAAUUUCAGUAGGGAAGCGAGUGAGUUCACGCUGGCGAGAAAAGCUGCUAGUACAUCCAAAGGUACCCGUACCGGAAACCGACGCAGGUGGGCGAGGAGAGAAUCCUGAGACGAACGGGAGAACCCUUGUUAAGGAACUCGGCAAAAUGACCCCGUAACUUCGGGAUAAGGGGUGCCUGCGAGAGCAGGCCGCAGAGAAUAGUCACAAGCGACUGUUUAGCAAAAACACAGGUAUCUGCGAAAGCGAGAGCUGACGUAUAGGUGCUGACACCUGCCCGGUGCUGGAAGGUUAAGGGAACAUGUUAGAGCAAUCGAAGCAUCGAACCGAAGCCCCAGUAAACGGCGGCCGUAACUAUAACGGUCCUAAGGUAGCGAAAUUCCUUGUCGGGUAAGUUCCGACCCGCACGAAUGGUGUAACGACUUGUGAGCUGUCUCAACAGGGGGCCCGGUGAAAUUGAAGUAUGGGUGAAGAUGCCCAUUACCCGCGACUGGACGGAAAGACCCCGUAGAGCUUUACUGCAGCCUGAUAUUGAGUUUCGGUAACUGAUGCACAGGAUAGGUGGGAGUCUGAGAGACAUGGGUUUCGGCUCAUGAGGAGACGAUGUUGGGAUACCACUCUUCGGUUACUGAAAUUCUAACAUAGCUCUGUGAAACCAGAGGAUGGACAGUGUCAGGUGGACAGUUUGACUGGGGCGGUCGCCUCCGAAAGAGUAACGGAGGCGCCCAAAGGUACCCUCAGAAUGGAUGGAAACCAUUCGAAGAGCGCAAAGGCAGAAGGGUGCCUGACUGCGAGAGUGACAACUCGAGCAGAGACGAAAGUCGGGCUUAGUGAUCCGGCGGUAUUGAGUGGAAAAGCCGUCGCUUAACGGAUAAAAGCUACCUCGGGGAUAACAGGCUGAUCUCCCCCAAGAGUCCACAUCGACGGGGAGGUUUGGCACCUCGAUGUCGGCUCAUCGCAUCCUGGGGCUGUAUUCGGUCCCAAGGGUUUGGCUGUUCGCCAAUUAAAGCGGCACGCGAGCUGGGUUCAGAACGUCGUGAGACAGUUCGGUCCCUAUCCAUCGUGGGCGUAGGAGUCAUGAGAGGAGCUGUUCCUAGUACGAGAGGACCGGAAUGGACGCACCACUGGUGCAACUGUUGUCGUGCCAACGGCAUAGCAGGGAAGCGAAGUGCGGAUGGGAUAAACGCUGAAGGCAUCUAAGCGUGAAGCCCACCUCAAGAAUAAGACUCCACAAUAGACCCCUGGAGGACUACCAGGUAGAUAGGUCAUCGGUGGAAGCGCUGUAAGGCGUGU
Molecule: ribosomal RNA, 2031 nt
Filed under: human gut metagenome
Description: bacterial LSU rRNA
Rfam family: Bacterial large subunit ribosomal RNA
Source: RNAcentral